This 496-nucleotide ribosomal RNA is filed under the name uncultured bacterium. RNAcentral's name for it is "bacterial SSU rRNA". It matches the Rfam family "Bacterial small subunit ribosomal RNA", at positions 30 to 510 of the family's 1533-position model. The record is from RNAcentral.
AUUGAACGCUGGCGGCAUGCCUUACACAUGCAAGUCGAACGGCAGCACGGACUUCGGUCUGGUGGCGAGUGGCGAACGGGUGAGUAAUGUAUCGGAACGUACCUUUCAGUGGGGGAUAACGUAGCGAAAGUUACGCUAAUACCGCAUAUUCUGUGAGCAGGAAAGCAGGGGAUCGCAAGACCUUGCGCUGAUUGAGCGGCCGAUAUCAGAUUAGCUAGUUGGUGAGGUAAAGGCUCACCAAGGCGACGAUCUGUAGCGGGUCUGAGAGGAUGAUCCGCCACACUGGAACUGAGACACGGUCCAGACUCCUACGGGAGGCAGCAGUGGGGAAUUUUGGACAAUGGGGGCAACCCUGAUCCAGCCAUGCCGCGUGAGUGAAGAAGGCCUUCGGUUGUAAGACUCUUCGGUCCGGGAAGGAAAUACGCAUGGGCGUAAUAACCCUCGUGCGGAGUGACGGUACCGGCGAUAAGAAGACACCGGCCGUAACUACGUGCCG